RNAcentral lists this ribosomal RNA (379 nucleotides) under Argopecten nucleus. RNAcentral's name for it is "partial 12S ribosomal RNA". It matches the Rfam family "Bacterial small subunit ribosomal RNA", at positions 874 to 1392 of the family's 1533-position model. Lineage: Eukaryota; Metazoa; Mollusca; Bivalvia; Pectinida; Pectinidae. The record is from RNAcentral.
ACUUUGCUUCUCAUCGCUGCUUGGGUACUACGAGCAUGUGCUUAAAACUCAAAGAACUUGGCGGCUUGUUAACUACCUAGGGGAAUAUGUGCCUUAAUCCGAUAGUCCUCGACAUAUUUUACUGGGCCUUGAAAAAUCAGUUGGUGUAUUGCCGUUGUCAGCCUGUUGUUGAGCAAAGAGAAACAGGCUUAAAGGAUUCUUUUAAAAAGUAGAAGAGUUCCUUGAAUUCAGGUCGUAAUACUGCCUAUGGCUCUAGGGAGUGGGUGUUACAAUUUUAAGUUGAAAUACGACCUUUUAUGAAAAAGAAGCGAAGGUGAACUUAGGAGUAAGGGAAGAUUAGAUUGCUCCCCUGACGUGAAUCUAGCUUGUGUACAAACUG